Long non-coding RNA from Equus asinus (donkey), 1608 nucleotides. The record is from Ensembl. Lineage: Eukaryota; Metazoa; Chordata; Mammalia; Perissodactyla; Equidae.
GUAGGAUCCGGUGACGCCUCUUCCCGUCUCCCCAGCCGCUCGGGCUCCGGCUCUCGGUGCGGCAGCGCCAUCUGGUGCCGAGUGUCCCGCCGCCCGUAGAGGGGGCGCGCGCCUUUCUCUCGGAACCUUCCAGAGAACCCGCGGCCUAGGCUUUCUUUUCUCCCGCCCUCGGGAAGGGAGGGACCCGAGUCUCCGCCCUGCCGAGUUCCCGCGCAAGAGGUCCUUGGCCGGCCUUUGAAGCGGAAGCUGCUCGGAGGAGGAGCUGUAUAUGCGCAAGAUGGAGGGCAAACAGUUCUUUUUCUAGUUUUAAGCCCAGGAAAAGCGGUUCUCUCUUGUUUGGCUUUCUCAAGGCUCGUCCUGGGCUGCUCCCCGUCAUCCUCGCGUCAAUUCCUUACCCUGUCGGGAGUGGGGGCCCCCGUUUCUCGCGUGGUGGGAAGAUGGCACAGGCUUUGUGGCUUAGGUUGGCCUCUGCGGUAACCGCCUUGUUUCUUUCCCUGAUUAAAGCAGUGUUGUAAAAGGGUGCAGUGUGUAUUGGGAGCCCAUCGAGAAGGGGAGAAUUUAGAGCAUAAUUUGCUUUCAGACAGCCCAAAACAUUUUGGAAAAGUAGCCCCAGAAACACUCGGGCUGAAUAUAGAUUUGUUUGCAUGGCCUUUUUCUUUUGGAUAACCAGAGAGGGAAAGUCAUUUCCCCAAAGUCAACAAAAUCAACACACAUUCUCUCUUGAUAAUGAAUUCUUGCUUGGAAACGUAGAUUUUCUUGGAAGCUUGUAGGCCUGACAAUCUUAGAUAGCCAGCGUAGGACUGUUUCGAUGUUCUGUUGGAAUGGUGCUUUAACUGAGUAUCAAAGUGUGUAGUGAAAGCUGGUGGAGUGAGCUUCCCUUGGAAUUCAGAUGUUCGCACCUACUAACUUUAGUGCUCCCCUGCGCGGUUCGCCUGUAGCAGUGGUUCUCAGACUUGAGCGUGCGUCAGUAGUCCUUGGAAGGCUUAUGAAAACAGAAGAGAUGCUUACGAGACUAAAACUGGAGAAAUUAGUAGGACUUUGGCCCCACUGCUGGAAAGCGAUAAGCUAAGCCCUAGAACCAGGAAAGUUCUACCUAAAUGAGUGUUCACACGUUAAAGCAACUACGACAUAUCAAUGUGUUCUGCAUAUAAUCGUGGUAGAGGCUGCUGUGAUACCAGUUUCUGCAGGCGUUUUCUCAAUUCUGUCAAAUCCUGACUAUGCCGCUGCAUUCAUUGACCUCAACACAGUGAAUAAAGCGCACAGCACACCAUGGGCAAAGUGAUGUCCAGAGAGGCUGAGCUGGGUGGAUGUGACUGAGAAGAAAAGACUUGGGGCUGCAAAUUCCCGAGAGAGAAUAUUUCAAGGCUCUGGUUAAAUUGUCAUGAAGUUCUGGUGCUAUUCUCUAACUUUCUUGAAGUUGCUGAUCAUCCUAAACAAAUUCUUCUUCAGUCCUACCUACCCUGAGCCAAGUAUUUCUAGAGCAUGGUGAUCUAAUGGAAAGAGCCAAACUUGGGAGUCAGGAACUACUGACUGAGCCUCGUCCUGCUGUGGACUAGCUAAGUGAACUGGGAUAAUCUCUGAUCCUCUCCAGACCUUAAUGUCUUCACU